RNAcentral lists this ribosomal RNA (1812 nucleotides) under Triticum aestivum (bread wheat). RNAcentral describes it as "partial small subunit ribosomal RNA". The record is from RNAcentral. Lineage: Eukaryota; Viridiplantae; Streptophyta; Magnoliopsida; Poales; Poaceae.
AUGCACAGGGUUGCACUCAAUGAGUAAGCUAACUUGACCGACCUCGUCACCUCUGAGAAUGCUUCCAAAUCCAUGUUGACAUAAUAUUUCAAGGUCAACCAGGACCACCCGUGGGCCAAGCAUAUAUUGUACAGGGAUUUUCCUGGAAGCUUCACAUGGCAGAAGGGACCGAAGUAUUGGAAGCCGCAUGAGGAGCGUUAUCAAAUAGGUCGAAUCGUGUCUGCCAAUCCUGCCGAGGGGGAGUGAUACUAUUUGAGUGUGUUGCUAAACCAUGUUUUGGGCAAGACAUCCUUCGAGGACCUGCUCACCAUGGAUGGAAGGCUAUGUGGGAGCUUUUGAGAGGCUGCUGAGAUGUUGGGACUCAUCGAGGCAUACAACACGCUCGACGAUUGUCUUACUAAGGAAAAGCAGUGGGCAAUGUCGUGUUCGCUUAGGAGGCUCUUCACUACAAUCUUGGUGCAUUGUGAGCCAGGCGGCGUGCAUGGUUUACGGGAUAGGCACUUCGAGCCUAUGUGUGAUGACUAUCAUCGAUCACACACGUGCCCGAAUGAGGUGGAGCAGAUGGUGUUGCUUGACAUUAGGGGUAUGUUGCAGUCCAUGGGCAAAGACAUAGUUGAUUUCGAUAUUCCGAGCAUCGACGAUACGUUCGACCCAACUGGGGGCAAGGCCAGAGAGGUGAUCAAGGAAUCCACCGUUGAGUUUGACGUGAACAACACUAAAUUGGCAUCAUCGCUAAACUUCAAGUAGAGGGUUGUGUAUGAUGAGAUACUAGCGGCAGUUGACCGCGAUGGUGGGGGUGUAUUCUUUGCUGAUGGUUCGGAGGGUAUAGGGAAUAACUUCCUAUACAGGGUGCUGCUCACCAAGGUUUAGAGCGAGGGAAACAUCGCUAUCGCUACUGCAACAUCGGGCGUUGCCGCUUCUAUCGUGCCUGGAGGCAAGACUGCCCACUCGAGGUUCAAGAUCCCAUUGAGCUGCGAUGAUGGUGCCUCAUGCAGCUUCACCAAGCAGAGUGGGACCGCCAAGCUGCUAAGGAUGGCCUUGAUACUAUGGGAUGAGGCCACCACGACUAAGCGACAGGCGGUCGAGGCACUGGACAAUAGUAUGGGUGACAUCAUGGGAAGGCUAGACCGACCCUUUGGAGGAAAGGCAGUAGUUUUUGGCGGAGACUUCAGGCAGGUGCUUUCGGUCGUCAGGAGGGGGUCCCGGGGUCAGAAAUUUGAUGCCACCCUUCGAAAUUACUUGCUAAGGGUUGGCAAUGGCACCAAGGAAGCUGACGAUCGAGACAACAUACGACUGCCUGAAGAUAUUUGUGUACCAUCUACAGGCAAAGUGGACGACCUGGAGAAGCUGAUUGACCAUGUAUUUCCUGGUCUAGAUGACAACAUGUUUAAUCCGAAUUACAUGACUUCUCGCGCAAUCCUCUCCAUGAACGACAACGUCGACAAGAUAAACAUACAGAUGAUAGAGUGUUUUCAGGGAGAAGAAGUGAUCUACCAUAGCUUUGACAGUGUAGAGGACGCACCAUAUGGCUACUAUGCUCCCAAGUUCCUGAACGGAUUGACUCCCAAUGGUCUACCUCCGCAUGCACUAAAGUUGAAGCUGAACUGCCCUGUCAUACUUCUGAGGAACAUUGAUCCAGCUAACGGACUGUCUAAGGGGACCAGACUUGUGGUCUGUGGUUUCGAGAGGAACACCAUUGACGCGGAAAUCGUGAUUGGACAACACGCGGGUAGGAGGGUCUUCCUUCCUCAAAUACCCCUAUGCCCAUCUGACAACGACAUGUGUGACGCUCCCGAUUCAAUCGUACACUAA